RNAcentral lists this ribosomal RNA (324 nucleotides) under Nectophrynoides paulae. RNAcentral's name for it is "partial 12S ribosomal RNA". It matches the Rfam family "Bacterial small subunit ribosomal RNA", at positions 879 to 1373 of the family's 1533-position model. The record is from RNAcentral. Lineage: Eukaryota; Metazoa; Chordata; Amphibia; Anura; Bufonidae.
ACUACGAGCUAAGCUUAAAACCCAAAGGACUUGACGGUACCCCACAUCCCCCUAGAGGAGCCUGUCCUGUAAUUGAUAAUCCACACUUAACCUCACCAUUUUUAGCUAAUCAGCCUGUAUACCUCCGUCGUCAGCUUACCACGUGAGCGUAGCUAGUGAGCCCAAUGUAUUUCACCAAAACGUCAGGUCAAGGUGCAGUAGAUAAAAUGGGAAGAGAUGGGCUACACUUUCUACUUUAGAAAAAACGAAAAACUACCUAUGAAAUCUAGUUAGAAGGCGGAUUUAGUAGUAAAAAGGAAUCAGCAUGUCCAUUUUAACCUGGCA